GCACCACUCCGGGACAGCCUUUUCUUUUUAUGUGGUACUAAGGAAUCAAAUCUAGGGCUUCACACAUGGUAGGCAAACACUCUACCACUAAGCCACAUUCCCAGCCCCAUGAUAUUUCUAGAUUCACCUGACAUGAAAUUCUGUCUCCACCAAGAUAGUAUCCUCAGUAAAAUGGC
Long non-coding RNA from Perognathus longimembris pacificus (Pacific pocket mouse), 176 nucleotides. RefSeq lists it as uncharacterized. The record is from RefSeq and is a predicted model, not a curated record. The transcript is spliced from 3 exons. Lineage: Eukaryota; Metazoa; Chordata; Mammalia; Rodentia; Heteromyidae.